Molecule: unclassified non-coding RNA, 398 nt
Filed under: Hevea brasiliensis (rubber tree)
Lineage: Eukaryota; Viridiplantae; Streptophyta; Magnoliopsida; Malpighiales; Euphorbiaceae
Source: RNAcentral
CCGCCGCAGACUGGAUAAUAAUGUUAUAAUUGUAGUGGUUACUAUUUUUAUCCGCGAUGCUGACGUCACCUUGCGCUAAUUGAGAGUCGGCUUCGGCAAGGAUGGAAGCAACGGUAGGAAUGGCGCCUAACUUGAGGAAGGCAAGUUUCUUGGUGCGAUUACCGAUGAUCUGGUUCUUGAUUUCUCUGAGGGCCUUGAGCUUGAUAUCAGGGUCAGGUGAGGCGAGACGGUUGAGGAGGUCCAUAGGGCGGUGAGCAAGGGCAGCGGAGGCAGUUGGCAUGGUGGCGUAUUGGCAUUAAAGCAAGCUCCACGAGGGAGCCGGAGGGUAUCGCCGGGCGGGAGAAAUUAAGCGAGAGGACAGGUUACGAGAUUUGUUAUUAUUGAAGGAGUGAAAAGGA